ACCGCUUCACCGCGGUAGGUGACUAUAUAAGGUUCUCCACCACCGGCGGUCUUGCCUCACCUCCUCCCUGCCCUUUCGGCCUGACCGCCGAGCUCCGGUUCGCCUCCUAGCCAUCUGUCAGCCAAGCUUUGCGAGAUGCAUGGAGAGAUGGACCUCGAGCUGCACGCGAUGGCGCCGGGCUAGCACAAGGCAGAGCACCCGGCGAGGAGGCGCGCAAGAUCGGCGCGUCGGUGCCCACUGGUUGCCAUCCCCGUCUCCCCUUCCUAGGUGCUCCCCUCGCGUCUUAACUCUUACCCCGAGGUGCUACAGAAGAGACGCACUACGGGGAGCUAACAUGGAGGAGCGGGCGGCCGCUCGAGGCACAACAUCCUGUUGCAGGCGAGGUGAGUCUCAAUGCUGAUGUUGGUCACCAACGAGGUCUGCGGAGCGGAAGUCCUGGCGAGGUGGAUUUCGCCGGUGAGGCCCUCUCCGUUCUUCCUCUUGUGUGCGUCUUGGGCAGGAGGCAGGGCCAGCUGGGCCCGAAGGCGGUGCCUAGCCCUCCGGGCCACUGAGGCGGGACGCCGGUGCCGUCGGCGAGGUGCCGAGGGCGCGCGGUGCGGCUCGCACUAGGACUCGUGCUCCGCCGCCAUGGCGACGGCCAGCGCAGGACAUGCGCGACACUGGGAGCCAAGCAUGAGGCUCUGGAGUGGCUCAUGCAGCGCGUCGCGCGCGGCGGUGCCGGUGGCUUGCAGUUGCAGGUUGACCGUGGGCGGUGGGCGUCGGGCAGAGCUCACAUGUGGUUGCGGCGGUGCGCCGACAAGUGAAGCUCGCGGCGUGAUGGCGGCGCGUCGUGUGUGUGUGCGCGCGCUGUUUGCGCCCACUGUGCGUGCGUGGGACGGUCUGACGAUGCGACGAACGAUGUCGAGGCAGCAGGCCGCUGGCGCUCGGUAUCGACGUAACGGAGCUCCUUUCCCUUACAGAAGCGGGCGCCGUCUCCUCUCAUGUCCCCUUCCCUCCUCUCUCUCGCCGCCGCCUGCGUGCGUGCAUGUACAGCUUGCUCGCCGAUAGAGAGUGCGCCGCUGCUCUCCUUCUCUCUCUCUCCAAGGCGACCGUGUUCCCGAGCCGCCGCCCCCUACCCAAGCUCCCGCAGCGCUACAUGUUGCCGCACGCCGUAUCUCUUUCGCGGUUUGGCUUUGGCCUCGCUCUUGGCACCGCGCCGGUCUACGAUGGCCACCAUCUGCCGGACAGUAAGACCCGAUAUGGUGGUCGCCUCGAUGACCGGUGGGUGCAAGCCAGCUGCGGCCCUUCGCCAUCCCCGAGCCAGCUGCGGCCCUUCGCCUACGGCAUGCUCGGCGCGCAUCUCCCGACCGGCGUGCGCACAUAGCCUCAUCGGAUAGGGAUAUGCGUCACCAGUCCACUCUAUCUGUUACACCGAUGCCACUCCCGAUGCGGACUGUGGCUGUGCUUCUUUUCGUUGUUAGAUAUAAUCUUGAUGUCUUGUGUAUCUGCAUGUUUACUUUCGUAUUUGCAUGUAGUAGUGUGUCUAGGUACCUGCGAGGCGUACAACUGAAGGGUUCAGUUUGAACUUUGAAGAGCAUGCAUGGUGAGACUCCAACGUGCGAGAAGCUGUUGCAUGCAUGCAAAGAUCUGAAGCUAACGGGCUGCACAAGUUAUCUAGGAAGUUGUUAUGCAUGCGUGUGUUAAUGGCAUAAGAAUAGGUGAUGGAUUAGUUGGUUAGUGGAGCAGGUCGUGUGCAUAAAGAGCCGGGCACGUUGUGGCCUGGCAGCGUGUGCGAGCUAGCUACUUAAAGUGUUGUAAUUAAGUUCGUCUGGUUAAGAAAUACAGAGAAGAAAAGCCGUGAGCUGUGUGAGACAGCGCGGCACCAAAUAUCCUGUGUUCUUGUGUGUCUUGUGUGAAACAACCAAAAGAGAAGAGGUGAGCUUAGAGACUCGGCUCCAACAUUCGUGUCCGUGAAUCCGUGAUGCCGUAGCCAGCAUCUCUCUACAUCUGGAUGUAGCGGAACACAGCGAGCCCCGGAUCGGCCACUCGAUUGACGGGGCCACCUCCCAAGGCUCCUCGGCCAUCACCUUCCCCAUGGCCGCCCUCGCGCGACUCCACGCCGGCCGUUCAGCUCAGCAGUCCUCUCGAGGAGAGUACACUAUCGACAAUGGUAGCAUGCCUAUGCCACGAAGGGACGCCAUAGUCAUGCACAGAGCGGUCGGUGAGUUUUCGUGGAUACAACGGUUACGAAUCUGCAGGCUGGCAUCCACACUGCCUGGCUGCUAUUUAUGACUGUCGGUGUAGCCUUCAAAUUUCACAGCAAGGUCGUAUGUGAUUAUUAAUACUGUAGCAGACCGUACAUGUACACUCUCAUAUAAAUGGACCGUGGAAUUGGAUUAUGGUUGUUGGCAUUACUUCAACUAUUUUAUGCAGUCCUUCAUUGAUUCUAGGAACUGAAUAACAUUUUUGUGAGGAAUCGAUGAAUAGCAAUUUGAUAAGUAUUGUGAGUGUGUAAGCAACGCAUUCACAACUCCAAAGCAGCUGAGCCGCAGCUCACAAACUCUUGUUUCAUAAAAGAUUAGAGUGAAAGACUUUGGCGAAUGAUUAUUUCAGUAAAACCUGAUUAACUGACUAACCUAAGAGUAUUUUAAAAGUAUUUUGGAUAAGCAUUCUGGUUUGCACUCUGCAAUUCAAGAUGAGCACCACUGAAUUUCAAGGAAGAUAUGAUAAAGGGUCUGACUAACACUCAUUUAGAUGAGAAUAAAAUCUGCAUGAUUAAACUUUCUGAGUUAUUUUGUGAUCUUUUAUCUGCCUAGCUAAUGUGUUACUUUAAUUUCAAGUAGAAAGCAAAAAUGAUGGCGAGUCUCUUUUUUUUCUGUUUAGUACUACAGUUAGCUUAGUUUUCUAUUUGGUGCAGCUUGGUGAAUUUUCAGCUGAGCUACCAUCACAUGGUAAAUUUUGUUUUCUACAGUAUUGAUGUGGCAAUUUUGUGAGUGUAGUCUUACCUUGACAUACUGCAUGUUGCAUAAUCAAAGUAUCCUUUUUCUCGAUAUAGCCCAACCAUGGCAAACUGCAGGUCAUUACUUAUUUUCAUUGAUAUUGGCUCAUGUAUACAGAUCAGUGCAUGGAACUGCCUAUUUCAAGGGAAGAUAUUUGGUUUUUCAUUUUGGCAAAAUAUUGGGUGAAAUACUAAGCGACUAUACGAAGUUUAUGUAUGUCUACUUUCCCAUUGGGUUUUCAUUUUGACAAAAUAUUAACUGAAAUACUUAGCGACUACAUAUACUUGGAUUGUAUGUUAAUUGGGUUCUUAAACAAACAAAAAAGUACUUCAUUCAUUAUUUUACUAUUCUCAUUUCUAAUAAUUUUUACACAAAGCUUGCCUUUUAUGUUACCUUGGUACCAAAUAGCUGAGCUUGCUCCUUGCUCGCAUAUUAGGGUAACUUGAUCCAUGCAGGAAUUAUGGGAUUGAGACACACAAUGAAGCAAGGAAUGAUUUAUACUAUUUUUUGCCAAUUUGCUUUUGUUUUGUUAUGAUGCUUAGUUCACAUUUGGGUUUUCUAUUUUAGAAAAUCAUUAGCAAGAAUAAUUAGUUGCUAUACUUAUAUUAUAUACGAGGCAAGGUAGUUCGUACAUUGCUUUAAUUACUCUACCCUUAUUAUAUGCAGUGUUAGUAAAGUAGACUUUGAAGUACCGAAUUACUAUGCUUCGUCUUGUUCAAUUGAGGGUGGCUGGUCAUUUUCUUUUCAUGUCUACAUAACACUAGAUUGUUUACAUCAAAGUGCAACCACAAUCAAAUCGUUAGUGUUUGUCCCUUUAUACUGAAUGUCUUUUGUCAUAACAUUAAUUUGGCUAAUUUACUUCACAUAUGGAGCCUGCCUUAUUUAAUUGUCCACUGAUCUGUUUGUUCUAUCCCCAUUUUCACAAACAAUGGAUAGUAUUUGUCCUUUUCCACUGGUUAUCUUUUGUCAUAACAUUGAUUUUGCAAAUUUACUUCACAUAUGGAGCCUGCCUUAUUUAUUUGUGUACUGAUCUGUUUGUUCUAUCCUCAAUUUUUUAAUUUAAGGUGGUCACCAAUCUUUGCAUGUAGAAACAAUGGAGAAAGCCUCGAGACUCCAUAGUCAGAGAAGGGGAAGUAUCCUUUGCAGCUGCAUUCAAAAAAGGGGAAUGAGAAGCAUGUACCUACCUCUACAUUGGCUCUUCCUGAGAUAAACUUGGACUGAGAUGCCCAGGUAGUUUAUGUUCUGCACCCUUCCGAGUGAAAAGGUCAGGAAGUGCUGCUCUGAUUUUCAACACAGUCGAAAGAUUAACUCACGUGUCUUCAUUUUACCAUGUAUGUAAUUUCAACAUAAAGUAUCGAUGGAGCUCUACAUCAUUUCAUUAUUGGCACAAAUCUAGCGGGAAGUCGAACAAGGAUGCUAUGAAGUACCAAAGAAUAAAAAAAUCAUCAUGCUAUAUCAAUAUGUAUUCUCUUUUCAUUAAAUAAAGCUACUCUUUACGAAA
This is a long non-coding RNA of Aegilops tauschii subsp. strangulata, 4479 nucleotides long. RefSeq lists it as uncharacterized. The record is from RefSeq and is a predicted model, not a curated record. Lineage: Eukaryota; Viridiplantae; Streptophyta; Magnoliopsida; Poales; Poaceae.